AAAGCGUGCGCAGGCGGUUCGUUAAGACAGAUGUGAAAUCCCCGGGCUUAACCUGGGAACUGCAUUUGUGACUGGCGAGCUAGAGUAUGGCAGAGGGGGGUAGAAUUCCACGUGUAGCAGUGAAAUGCGUAGAGAUGUGGAGGAAUACCGAUGGCGAAGGCAGCCCCCUGGGCCAAUACUGACGCUCAUGCACGAAAGCGUGGGGAGCAAACAGGAUUAGAUACCCCAGU
This 230-nucleotide ribosomal RNA is filed under the name uncultured bacterium. RNAcentral describes it as "partial 16S ribosomal RNA". It matches the Rfam family "Bacterial small subunit ribosomal RNA", at positions 562 to 791 of the family's 1533-position model. The record is from RNAcentral.